GAUCAAGCGCGAAAAGGGCGUUUGGUGGAUGCCUAGGCAGUAAGAGGCGAUGAAGGACGUGAUACUCUGCGAUAAGCCAUGGGGAGUUGAGAAUAAGCUUUGAUCCAUGGAUUUCCGAAUGGGGCAACCCACCUGAAACUUCGUUAUUGUUGCUCGCAAGAGCACUCAAUAGCGCUGUUAACCAGGUACUUCUAACCUGAAUACAUAGGGUUAAAAGAGCAAACCCGGGGAACUGAAACAUCUAAGUACCCGGAGGAAAGGACAUCAACAGAGACUCCGCUAGUAGUGGCGAGCGAACGCGGACCAGCCGAGCCUUGAGUGUGACCAGAACGAGUUGGAAAACUCGGCCAGAGCGGGUGACAGCCCCGUAUGGGAAGCAUGAUAGGACGUAUCAAGUAGGGCGGGACACGUGAAAUCCUGUCUGAAGAUCGGGGGACCACCCUCGAAGGCUAAGUACUCCUUACUGACCGAUAGCGAACCAGUACCGUGAGGGAAAGGUGAAAAGCACCCCGACGAGGGGAGUGAAACAGUACCUGAAACCGAACGCCUACAAUCAGUCGGAGCUCCCUUGAGGAGUGACGGCGUACCUUUUGUAUAAUGGGUCAUCGACUUGGUCUCACGAGCAAGCUUAAGCCGGUAGGUGUAGGCGCA
RNAcentral lists this ribosomal RNA (651 nucleotides) under Limimaricola litoreus. RNAcentral's name for it is "partial 23S ribosomal RNA". It matches the Rfam family "Bacterial large subunit ribosomal RNA", at positions 1 to 670 of the family's 2925-position model. The record is from RNAcentral. Lineage: Bacteria; Pseudomonadati; Pseudomonadota; Alphaproteobacteria; Rhodobacterales; Paracoccaceae.